Molecule: long non-coding RNA, 383 nt
Organism: Oncorhynchus tshawytscha (Chinook salmon)
Lineage: Eukaryota; Metazoa; Chordata; Actinopteri; Salmoniformes; Salmonidae
Source: Ensembl
GGGAUGGUAGAGUAGGGGGUAGGGAUGGUAGAGUAGGGGGUAGGGAUGGUAGAGUAGGGGGUAGGGAUGGUAGAGUAGGGGGUAGGGAUGGUAGAGUAGUGGGUAGGGAUGGUAGAGUAGUGGGUAGGGACGGUAGAGUAGUAGGUAGGGAUGGUAGAGUAGUGGGUAGGGAUGGUAGAGUAGUAGGUAGGGAUGGUAGAGUAGUGGGUAGGGAUGUUAAAGUAGUGGGUAGGGAUGGAUAGUAGUAGGUAGGGAUGGUAGAGUAGGGGUAGGGAUGGUAGAGUAGUGGGUAGGGAUGGUAAAGUAGUGGGUAGGGAUGGUAGAGUAGUGGGUAGGGAUGGUAUAGUAGUGGGUAGGGAUGGUAGAGUAGGGGGUAGGGAUGG